GACGAACGCUGGCGGCGUGCCUAAUACAUGCAAGUUGAACGCUUGAUUUUCACCGAAGCUUGCUUCGCCGAAAAUCAAGAGUAGCGAACGGGUGAGUAACGCGUGGGUAACCUACCUUUCAGCGGGGGAUAACUAUUGGAAACGAUAGCUAAUACCGCAUAACAAUGUUGGAUGCAUAUUCGACAUUUGAAAGUACCAACUGGUACACUGAGAGAUGGACCCGCGUUGUAUUAGCUAGUUGGUAGUGUAAUGGACUACCAAGGCGAUGAUACAUAGCCGACCUGAGAGGGUGAUCGGCCACAUUGGGACUGAGACACGGCCCAAACUCCUACGGGAGGCAGCAGUAGGGAAUCUUCGGCAAUGGACGAAAGUCUGACCGAGCAACGCCGCGUGAGUGAAGAAGGUUUUCGGAUCGUAAAACUCUGUUGUUAGAGAAGAACGUUGCAUAGAGUGGAAAAUUAUGCAAGUGACGGUAUCUAACCAGAAAGGGACGGCUAACUACGUGCCCAGCAGCCGCGGUAAAUACGUAGGUCCCGAGCGUUGUCCGGAUUUAUUGGGCGUAAAGCGAGCGCAGGUGGUUUAAUAAGUCUGAUGUAAAAGGCAGUGGCUCAACCAUUGUGUGCAUUGGAAACUGUUAGACUUGAGUGCAGUAGAGGAGAGUGGAAUUCCCAUGUGUAGCGGUGAAAUG
RNAcentral lists this ribosomal RNA (688 nucleotides) under Pseudolactococcus raffinolactis. RNAcentral describes it as "bacterial SSU rRNA". It matches the Rfam family "Bacterial small subunit ribosomal RNA", at positions 28 to 688 of the family's 1533-position model. The record is from RNAcentral. Lineage: Bacteria; Bacillati; Bacillota; Bacilli; Lactobacillales; Streptococcaceae.